This 253-nucleotide ribosomal RNA is filed under the name uncultured bacterium. Its description in RNAcentral is "partial 16S ribosomal RNA". It matches the Rfam family "Bacterial small subunit ribosomal RNA", at positions 524 to 776 of the family's 1533-position model. The record is from RNAcentral.
UACAGAGGUCUCAAGCGUUGUUCGGAUUCAUUGGGCGUAAAGGGUGUGUAGGUGGCGCUGUAAGUCGGGUGUGAAAUUUCGGAGCUUAACUCCGAAACUGCAUUCGAUACUGCGGUGCUUGAGGACUGGAGAGGAGACUGGAAUUCCUGGUGUAGCGGUGGAAUGCGCAGAUAUCAGGAGGAACACCGGUGGCGAAGGCGGGUCUCUGGGCAGUAACUGACGCUGAGGAGCGAAAGCGUGGGGAGCGAACAGG